RNAcentral lists this ribosomal RNA (515 nucleotides) under uncultured bacterium. RNAcentral's name for it is "bacterial SSU rRNA". It matches the Rfam family "Bacterial small subunit ribosomal RNA", at positions 504 to 1533 of the family's 1533-position model. The record is from RNAcentral.
CGUGCCAGCAGCCGCGGUAAUACGUAGGGUGCGAGCGUUAAUCGGAAUUACUGGGCGUAAAGCGUGCGCAGGCGGUUUUGUAAGACAGAUGUGAAAUCCCCGGGCUUAACCUGGGAACUGCGUUUGUGACUGCAAGGCUAGAGUACGGCAGAGGGGGGUGGAAUUCCUGGUGUAGCAGUGAAAUGCGUAGAGAUCAGGAGGAACACCGAUGGCGAAGGCAGCCCCCUGGGCCUGUACUGACGCUCAUGCACGAAAGCGUGGGGAGCAAACAGGAUUAGAUACCCUGGUAGUCCACGCCCUAAACGAUGUCGACUAGUCGUUCGGAGCAGCAAUGCACUGAGUGACGCAGCUAACGCGUGAAGUCGACCGCCUGGGGAGUACGGCCCCAGUUGUUGCCUAUGCGGUAAAAGUUAUCGCCAGCUUUUUCGCGCUCCAGUUGCAGCGCGCUGGUAUCUUUUACCUCGGGCAAUUGUGGCGCCAGUCCCCAUUGUAUAUACGCAUAGCCGCCCAGUAAC